UUACGGCCAUAUCACGUUGAAACACCGGUUCCCGUAUGUUAACCGAAGUUAAGCAAUGUCGAGCCUUAGCAGUAACUAGAUGGGUGACUACUUGGGAAUACCGGGUGCUGAAA
Molecule: non-coding RNA, 113 nt
Organism: Acanthosepion pharaonis
Lineage: Eukaryota; Metazoa; Mollusca; Cephalopoda; Sepiida; Sepiidae
Source: the annotation of a GenBank genome assembly